This 2758-nucleotide ribosomal RNA is filed under the name Klebsiella pneumoniae. RNAcentral describes it as "bacterial LSU rRNA". It matches the Rfam family "Bacterial large subunit ribosomal RNA". The record is from RNAcentral. Lineage: Bacteria; Pseudomonadati; Pseudomonadota; Gammaproteobacteria; Enterobacterales; Enterobacteriaceae.
CACUAUCGUUAACUGAAUACAUAGGUUAACGAGGCGAACCGGGGGAACUGAAACAUCUAAGUACCCCGAGGAAAAGAAAUCAACCGAGAUUCCCCCAGUAGCGGCGAGCGAACGGGGAGCAGCCCAGAGUCUGAAUCAGCUUGUGUGUUAGUGGAACGGUCUGGAAAGUCCGACGGUACAGGGUGAUAGUCCCGUACACCAAAAUGCACAGGCUGUGAACUCGAAGAGUAGGGCGGGACACGUGGUAUCCUGUCUGAAUAUGGGGGGACCAUCCUCCAAGGCUAAAUACUCCUGACUGACCGAUAGUGAACCAGUACCGUGAGGGAAAGGCGAAAAGAACCCCGGCGAGGGGAGUGAAAAAGAACCUGAAACCGUGUACGUACAAGCAGUGGGAGCACCUUCGGGUGUGACUGCGUACCUUUUGUAUAAUGGGUCAGCGACUUAUAUUCUGUAGCAAGGUUAACCGUAUAGGGGAGCCGCAGGGAAACCGAGUCUUAACUGGGCGUUAAGUUGCAGGGUAUAGACCCGAAACCCGGUGAUCUAGCCAUGGGCAGGUUGAAGGUUGGGUAACACUAACUGGAGGACCGAACCGACUAAUGUUGAAAAAUUAGCGGAUGACUUGUGGCUGGGGGUGAAAGGCCAAUCAAACCGGGAGAUAGCUGGUUCUCCCCGAAAGCUAUUUAGGUAGCGCCUCGUGAAUUCAUCUUCGGGGGUAGAGCACUGUUUCGGCUAGGGGGUCAUCCCGACUUACCAACCCGAUGCAAACUACGAAUACCGAAGAAUGUUAUCACGGGAGACACACGGCGGGUGCUAACGUCCGUCGUGAAGAGGGAAACAACCCAGACCGCCAGCUAAGGUCCCAAAGUCAUGGUUAAGUGGGAAACGAUGUGGGAAGGCACAGACAGCCAGGAUGUUGGCUUAGAAGCAGCCAUCAUUUAAAGAAAGCGUAAUAGCUCACUGGUCGAGUCGGCCUGCGCGGAAGAUGUAACGGGGCUAAACCAUGCACCGAAGCUGCGGCAGCGACACUAUGUGUUGUUGGGUAGGGGAGCGUUCUGUAAGCCUGCGAAGGUGACCUGUGAGGGUUGCUGGAGGUAUCAGAAGUGCGAAUGCUGACAUAAGUAACGAUAAAGCGGGUGAAAAGCCCGCUCGCCGGAAGACCAAGGGUUCCUGUCCAACGUUAAUCGGGGCAGGGUGAGUCGACCCCUAAGGCGAGGCCGAAAGGCGUAGUCGAUGGGAAACAGGUUAAUAUUCCUGUACUUGGUGUUACUGCGAAGGGGGGACGGAGAAGGCUAUGUUAGCCGGGCGACGGUUGUCCCGGUUUAAGCAUGUAGGCUGGUUGUCCAGGCAAAUCCGGAUAAUCAAGGCUGAGGUGUGAUGACGAGGUACUACGGUGCUGAAGUAACAAAUGCCCUGCUUCCAGGAAAAGCCUCUAAGCAUCAGGUAACAUCAAAUCGUACCCCAAACCGACACAGGUGGUCAGGUAGAGAAUACCAAGGCGCUUGAGAGAACUCGGGUGAAGGAACUAGGCAAAAUGGUGCCGUAACUUCGGGAGAAGGCACGCUGGUGUGUAGGUGAAGUCCCUGCGGAUGGAGCUGAGACCAGUCGAAGAUACCAGCUGGCUGCAACUGUUUAUUAAAAACACAGCACUGUGCAAACACGAAAGUGGACGUAUACGGUGUGACGCCUGCCCGGUGCCGGAAGGUUAAUUGAUGGGGUUAUCCGUAAGGAGAAGCUCUUGAUCGAAGCCCCGGUAAACGGCGGCCGUAACUAUAACGGUCCUAAGGUAGCGAAAUUCCUUGUCGGGUAAGUUCCGACCUGCACGAAUGGCGUAAUGAUGGCCAGGCUGUCUCCACCCGAGACUCAGUGAAAUUGAACUCGCUGUGAAGAUGCAGUGUACCCGCGGCAAGACGGAAAGACCCCGUGAACCUUUACUAUAGCUUGACACUGAACAUUGAGCCUUGAUGUGUAGGAUAGGUGGGAGGCUUUGAAGCGUGGACGCCAGUCUGCGUGGAGCCAACCUUGAAAUACCACCCUUUAAUGUUUGAUGUUCUAACGUUGGCCCCUUAUCGGGGUUGCGGACAGUGUCUGGUGGGUAGUUUGACUGGGGCGGUCUCCUCCCAAAGCGUAACGGAGGAGCACGAAGGUUAGCUAAUCCUGGUCGGACAUCAGGAGGUUAGUGCAAUGGCAUAAGCUAGCUUGACUGCGAGCGUGACGGCGCGAGCAGGUGCGAAAGCAGGUCAUAGUGAUCCGGUGGUUCUGAAUGGAAGGGCCAUCGCUCAACGGAUAAAAGGUACUCCGGGGAUAACAGGCUGAUACCGCCCAAGAGUUCAUAUCGACGGCGGUGUUUGGCACCUCGAUGUCGGCUCAUCACAUCCUGGGGCUGAAGUAGGUCCCAAGGGUAUGGCUGUUCGCCAUUUAAAGUGGUACGCGAGCUGGGUUUAGAACGUCGUGAGACAGUUCGGUCCCUAUCUGCCGUGGGCGCUGGAGAAUUGAGGGGGGCUGCUCCUAGUACGAGAGGACCGGAGUGGACGCAUCACUGGUGUUCGGGUUGUCAUGCCAAUGGCACUGCCCGGUAGCUAAAUGCGGAAGAGAUAAGUGCUGAAAGCAUCUAAGCACGAAACUUGCCCCGAGAUGAGUUCUCCCUGAGACUUUAAGUCUCCUGAAGGAACGUUAAAGACGAUGACGUUGAUAGGCCGGGUGUGUAAGCGCAGCGAUGCGUUGAGCUAACCGGUACUAAUGAACCGUGAGGCUUAACCUU